GCGGCGCCAUGGCGUGGGCGGGGCGACGACGCCGCUGUACUACGGCGGCGACAGGUCGGUGUUCGAGGAGCACCGGACGACGCU
RNAcentral lists this transfer RNA (84 nucleotides) under Actinomadura cremea. Its description in RNAcentral is "tRNA-Ser". Lineage: Bacteria; Bacillati; Actinomycetota; Actinomycetes; Streptosporangiales; Thermomonosporaceae. The record is from RNAcentral.